Cavia porcellus (domestic guinea pig) is the source of this 289-nucleotide regulatory RNA element. It matches the Rfam family "Mason-Pfizer monkey virus packaging signal". Rfam says of the family: The packaging signal is located in the 5' UTR and is required for specific RNA encapsidation. Lineage: Eukaryota; Metazoa; Chordata; Mammalia; Rodentia; Caviidae. The record is from Rfam.
UGGCACCCAACGUAGAGCUCCUGGCAUGGAGGAUUCAAUGGGGGACCCAUUUGGAGAUGCCAGCCGAAAGUGAAACUAAAGAUCUGAGGCCUACGCUAUGCAGGAGCAUGCUGUGCCGCUCAAGCUUUGGUAAGUGAACAGUGAUCCCUUCCCCCUUUCCCAGCAUGGGUCAAGCAUUGAGUGACCACGAACUUUUUGUGGGAGGCCUAAGUAAGGCAUUAAAGACAAGAGGGAUUAAGGCUAAAGAAAAAGAUUUAUUACAAUAUUUUCAAUUUAUUCAUACGGUUUG